GGCGGCGGCUGCUCCCCUCGGCGGCUGGGCGCGGCGCGGGCUCCGGCGGCAGGAAGGGAAGCGGCGAGGGCGCGAGCCGGGCGGAAACGCUGCGACGUCACGGCCGCCGGGGCCCGGAGGAGGAAGCGGUUGCUAUGGGGUUUUUCACUACCUACUUUGGUGCGAUCUCAGCCAGCCACUCGUGAUUGGCUGGCGCCGGCCGCGGCGAGCUGAGGAAACCCUGUGCAACGAGCCCGGCCCAGACAAAGCGCCCGCCGCUGCUGCUGCUGGGGAGCCCGCCCCGAAAUGCUGAAAAAAAAAACACACUAAAAAACACAAUAAAAAUAAUACAAAUA
Anas platyrhynchos (mallard) is the source of this 335-nucleotide long non-coding RNA. RefSeq lists it as uncharacterized. The record is from RefSeq and is a predicted model, not a curated record. NCBI's taxonomy places the organism in Eukaryota, Metazoa, Chordata, Aves, Anseriformes, Anatidae.